CAAUAGCGUAUAUUAAAGUUGUUGCAGUUAAAAAGCUCGUAGUUGGAUUUCUGGUGGGAGCACGGGUCGGCCCUCACGGGUUGUACUGUUGUUGCGUCCUGCCGUUUCGGAGGGAAUGGUCUCGCUAUUAGGUUAGUGGGGUCGGGAACUCUGUCGUUUACUGUGAAAAAAUUAGAGUGUUCAAAGCAGGCCUUCGCUGUGAAUACAUUAGCAUGGAAUAAUAAGAUAGGACUAUGGUGCUAUUUUGUUGGUUUGCGUACUAUGGUAAUGAUUAAUAGGGAUAGUUGGGGGUAUUCAUAUUCAAUUGUCAGAGGUGAAAUUCUUGGAUUUAUGGAAGAUGAACUACUGCGAAAGCAUUUACCAAGGAUGUUUNCAUUAA
This 379-nucleotide ribosomal RNA is filed under the name uncultured eukaryote. Its description in RNAcentral is "partial 18S ribosomal RNA". It matches the Rfam family "Eukaryotic small subunit ribosomal RNA", at positions 592 to 976 of the family's 1831-position model. The record is from RNAcentral.